UGGCUCAGUCAGUGGAGCAUGUGACUUUUGAUCUCAGGGUCGUAAGUUCAAACCUUAC
This 58-nucleotide transfer RNA is filed under the name Canis lupus familiaris (dog). It matches the Rfam family "tRNA", at positions 8 to 63 of the family's 71-position model. From Rfam's summary of the family: Transfer RNA (tRNA) molecules are approximately 80 nucleotides in length. Their secondary structure includes four short double-helical elements and three loops (D, anti-codon, and T loops). RNAcentral also lists the same sequence under 1 other name. The record is from Rfam by way of RNAcentral. Lineage: Eukaryota; Metazoa; Chordata; Mammalia; Carnivora; Canidae.